UACGGGGGGGGCAAGCGUUGUUCGGAAUCACUGGGCGUAAAGGGCGCGUAGGCGGCUCGGUAAGUAGGGGGUGAAAUCCUACGGCUUAACCGCAGGGCUGCCUUCUAAACUGUCGAGCUUGAGCACGGUAGAGGCAGAUGGAAUUCCCGGUGUAGCGGUGGAAUGCGUAGAGAUCGGGAAGAACAUCAGUGGCGAAGGCGGUCUGCUGGGCCGUUGCUGACGCUGAGGCGCGACAGCGUGGGGAGCAAACAGG
This 253-nucleotide ribosomal RNA is filed under the name uncultured bacterium. RNAcentral describes it as "partial 16S ribosomal RNA". It matches the Rfam family "Bacterial small subunit ribosomal RNA", at positions 524 to 776 of the family's 1533-position model. The record is from RNAcentral.